GACGAACGCUGGCGGCGUGCUUAACACAUGCAAGUCGAACGGAAAGGCCCUGCUUUUGUGGGGUGCUCGAGUGGCGAACGGGUGAGUAACACGUGAGUAACCUGCCCUUGACUUUGGGAUAACUUCAGGAAACUGGGGCUAAUACCGGAUAGGAGCUCCUGCUGCAUGGUGGGGGUUGGAAAGUUUCGGCGGUUGGGGAUGGACUCGCGGCUUAUCAGCUUGUUGGUGGGGUAGUGGCUUACCAAGGCUUUGACAGGUAGCCGGCCUGGGAGGGUGACCGGCCACAUUGGGACUGAGAUACGGCCCAGACUCCUACGGGAGGCAGCAGUGGGGAAUAUUGCACAAUGGGCGGAAGCCUGAUGCAGCAACGCCGCGUGUGGGAUGACGGCCUUCGGGUUGUAAACCGCUUUCGCCUGUGACGAAGCGUGAGUGACGGUAAUGGGUAAAGAAGCACCGGCUAACUACGUG
RNAcentral lists this ribosomal RNA (468 nucleotides) under uncultured bacterium. Its description in RNAcentral is "partial 16S ribosomal RNA". It matches the Rfam family "Bacterial small subunit ribosomal RNA", at positions 28 to 507 of the family's 1533-position model. The record is from RNAcentral.